Long non-coding RNA from Lingula anatina, 244 nucleotides. Lineage: Eukaryota; Metazoa; Brachiopoda; Lingulata; Lingulida; Lingulidae. The record is from RefSeq and is a predicted model, not a curated record.
AUGCGUCUGACUUGGUUUUAGUAGAGGGUGAUUUUAAAGCGUUCGACGUCUGUGCUAAUGGUAAACACAGUUGCUCUCCAUAUGCUGACUGCAAGCAUCAAGCGACUUAUGGAACGUACACCUGUCACUGCAGAGAGGGGUUUGAAGAUGACAGUGUUGAACAAAAGGGACGUAUUUGUACAGGAUUAUGCCCAGUCUGUAUGAACGGAGGAAUUUGUCAGAGAGUCGUAGGGAACCUAUCGUC